UAAAAAUAAACCAGAUACAAAAUCUUGCCUUGUAUUUACAGACAAAUUUUAAUGGAAUAUUUCAUGGUCCAACACAAAUAUCAGACCCAAUGGCACUAAUUCUUGUACAGCCUUUGGCUUACCCUGUAUAACAAAAUCUGUUAUUUAAAGUAGACUACAAAAUACCUCAUGGUAAGUGAACUUCCAAAGACACAAAGAAAAUCUUCCAUAAAUUUAAAAGCUUAUCUCAAAUUCUUAUUGUUAUAAGCUUGGGAUGUAUAUAUGGUUAAUUGAAUUAUCUUAGGUAGUUGAAAUAUAUCAGUUAGAGUGUAGAAAUAAAAAAGUUGUUUUAGAUAUUUUUGCUUCUGUUCCUAGUCAACAUUAGUAAACACAAAUAAGUGGAUGUAAAAUUACUUUUACAAAAUUUUGAAUGUUGGCAAUCUCAAGCAAGAUUCUUUACGUCAGCGACACUUUUUUUUUUUUAACCCUUAGUCAGCAUAUUACAAGGUUCAUACAUUUCAAGGAGUAAUGACUAAAUGUUGUAUCAGAAAGAAAACAUUUUUUAGUAGCUCUUUAAAAAAAAACAAAAAAGAAAGUUCCCUUUAGAAAUUUACAAGAAAAUUGUAUGUCAUUAAGGAAACCUAAAGUAGAUGGGCAUAAAAUACAAUUGAGAAAAGGUAUCGAAAAUAAUGCAUUUGACAUAACCGAAUGUGCUCCACAACACCUUUUGUAAUCUUUCAGGGGAGAAAAAAAAAGUUUAUUUCCUAAAAUAUAUUAAAUGAAGAAAAAAGUUCAGGAAUGUCCAGCAGACAACUAAAAUUCAAAUUUUCUUUUUUUUUCAUUUUUUUUUUUCUGAGGAGACUUUACUGAAAGGAUGGAGUGUAAAUGGGAACCCUGUAGGUGUGUUCAUAAGUGUUGUACAUGACGUAUUUGAAGCGCCACUCAGUACACAUUGAAUACUUUGUAAGUAUAUAGGCAUAUCAACAUGCAAGUGUCAUGUACUUAAUAUUACAAUAUGCAUUUUGUCUUGUGAAAAUGUUCAUGAUAAGAGUAGAAUCAAUAAUUGUGUUUGUUUUAUGUGCGAUAUGCUUCAUUUUGGUGGAUCUUCUUUGCAGCACAGAAUAUUUUUGAGUGCUGUCAUAAGUAUACCCUUCCAAAAGAUAUGGAUUUCAUGUCAUAUAAAUAGAACACAUUAUUUUUUGAAACUUCAUUACCGGGAACACCUGCAUUUCUGGACACUGUUUUCAGAGAUAAGUCUUUAAAUUUUUUUUUUAACAUGGCAAACUUGUUGCAAGGUUGUUUACACUGAAAUAUUUAUGAUAAGAAUGGAGCUGUCUUUAAGGAAUAUUUACUGUUGAAUAAAAAGGUAAACAACUGAUUCACAAAUAUUGAUGUGAACUGAAUAUGAAGAAGAAAUUAGCCAUUCCAAACUCAAAAGUCCUUAGUCCACUACUCGAUUGCAUCAUUGAAUCAAUCGACAACAGGUACGGCGAGUACAGCGAAGUAAGUUUGUAAAAAAGAUUAAAAUGUUACAUAUUUAUAAAGGAGCAAUAUCACUAGCUUUGAAAAGCUUCUAGAUUGCUUUUUUUUUUGUUCUAUUUAUGACAUUCAGUCAACACAUCGGAACCACAGAGAAAAGCAAAGAGGAGAAAGAUAACAGCUGUUUUUACAUUUUGUACUUGUCUUUAACCGAUUCGUGACUACUGCUUCCAACCGUUACAUUUUAUUGCGCGUGACUUUCACUAUCAGCAAAUAUAAAAAACGUGUCUACGAGGAUCAUGUACAAGGGGAAGCAUCUAAAGAAAGAAAGCAUUUGAGUUUUGGUCACCAUUCUUCCCAGGACAUUCAAAAAGGAAAAGAAGACAAGAAGAAUAUUGAUAUCGGCCAAGAAGGAAUAUGGAGCACAGUGUGACAAACACAACAACAGCCACUAUUCCUCCUAUGAGAGCAUGAUCAGGGCCGUUCUGGCCAGCCAGAGAAUUGGGAUCUAUUCUGCUGCU
Molecule: non-coding RNA, 1979 nt
Organism: Arvicanthis niloticus (Nile rat)
Lineage: Eukaryota; Metazoa; Chordata; Mammalia; Rodentia; Muridae
Source: RefSeq, a predicted model, not a curated record